Molecule: ribosomal RNA, 330 nt
Filed under: uncultured bacterium
Lineage: Bacteria
Description: bacterial SSU rRNA
Rfam family: Bacterial small subunit ribosomal RNA
Source: RNAcentral
GGGCCCGCACAAGCGGUGGAGUAUGUGGUUUAAUUCGAUGCAACGCGAAGAACCUUACCAGGGUUUGACAUCCUGCGAAUCUCUUGGAAACAGGAGAGUGCCUUCGGGAACGCAGUGACAGGUGGUGCAUGGCUGUCGUCAGCUCGUGUCGUGAGAUGUUGGGUUAAGUCCCGCAACGAGCGCAACCCACGUCUUUAGUUGCCAGCAGUUCGGCUGGGCACUCUAUGGAAACUGCCCGUGAUAAGCGGGAGGAAGGUGUGGAUGACGUCAAGUCCUCAUGGCCCUUACGGGUUGGGCUACACACGUGCUACAAUGGCAGUGACAAUGGGU